RNAcentral lists this unclassified non-coding RNA (86 nucleotides) under Agrobacterium pusense. RNAcentral describes it as "Rhizobium pusense microRNA mir-598". The record is from RNAcentral. Lineage: Bacteria; Pseudomonadati; Pseudomonadota; Alphaproteobacteria; Hyphomicrobiales; Rhizobiaceae.
AAAAGGCGAUGAAAAUUGAUGGCGAUCGAUCAUAAUAACAAUAUCAUGAUAUUGUUAUUAUGAUCGAUCGCCAUCAAUUUUCAUCG